Oncorhynchus tshawytscha (Chinook salmon) is the source of this 5414-nucleotide long non-coding RNA. The record is from Ensembl. NCBI's taxonomy places the organism in Eukaryota, Metazoa, Chordata, Actinopteri, Salmoniformes, Salmonidae.
CAAGACCAGUUAACCCACUGUUCCUAGACCAGUUAACCCACUGUUCCUAGACCAGUUAACCCACUGUUCCUAGACCAGUUAACCCACUGUUCCUAGACCAGUUAACCCACUGUUCCUAGGCCGUCAUUGUAAAUAAUAAUUUGUUCUUAACUGACUUGCCUUGUUAAAUAAAGGUUGAAUACAAAUGUAAAUGUACCUGACCAAACCAUAAUCACACAGGGAUGCUGGUCUUCCACAAACUUACAAACGUGCGCACGCACACGGCUAGCAUGCACAUUGAAAACAGCACCCUAGGUUGGGGGUCAUAGGGGAAACCAAUAUCCCUUCCUCCCCAUUCUAUUUCUCUCUCUCUUCCUCCCUGUUUCUCAUCAACACUGUCAUCUUCUCUGCAAUACUGAUAGUAUAGACUGACAGGACAGGAGACAGUGGAAUACAGUAACCCAGCCAUGUUGGAAUACAGUAACCCAGCCAUGUUGGAAUACAGUAACCCAGCCAUGUUGGAAUACAGUAACCCAGCCAUGUAGGAAUACAGUAACCCAGCCAUAUUAGAAAACAGUAACCCAGCCAUGUAGGAAUACAGUAACCCAGCCAUGUAGGAAUACAGUAACCCAGCCAUGUAGGAAUACAGUAACCCAGCCAUGUAGGAAUACAGUAACCCAGCCAUGUUAGAAUACAGUAACCCAGCCAUGUUGGAAUACAGUAACCCAGCCAUGUUAGAAUACAGUAACCCAGCCAUGUUGGAAUACAGUAACCCAGCCAUGUUAGAAUACAGUAACCCAGCCAUGUUAGAAUACAGUAACCCAGCCAUGUUGGAAUACAGUAACCCAGCCAUGUUGGAAUACAGUAACCCAGCCAUGUUAGAAUACAGUAACCCAGCCAUGUUGGAAUACAGUAACCCAUCCGUGUUGGAAUACAGUAACCCAGCCAUAUUAGAAUACAGUAACCCAGCCAUAUUAGAAUACAGUAACCCAGCCAUAUUAGAAUACAGGAACCCAGCCAUGUUAGAAUACAGUAACCCAGCCAUGUAGGAAUACAGUAACCCAGCCGUGUUAGAAUACAGUAACCCAUCCGUGUUAGAAUACAGUAACCCAUCCGUGUUAGAAUACAGUAACCCAUCCGUGUUAGAAUACAGUAACCCAGCCAUGUUGGAAUACAGUAACCCAGCCAUGUAGGAAUACAGUAACCCAGCCUAACAUCCGUGUUAGAAUACAGUAACCCAGCUGUGUUAGAAUACAGUAACCCAGCCAUGUAGGAAUACAGUAACCCAGCCGUGUUAGAAUACAGUAACCCAUCCGUGUUAGAAUACAGUAACCCAUCCGUGUUAGAAUACAGUAACCCAGCCGUGUUAGAAUACAGUAACCCAUCCCUGUUGGAAUACAGUAACCCAGCCAUAUGACAAUGUAGAUGUGCCAUAGUCUAAUCAUGUCAAACCACGCCAGUCUCCUCAUGUCAUGUUGUUUGCCGUAGACCUACACACUCGUAGUCACUUUAAACACGCCUGUCUAAAGCACUUUACGUUUCGACCAAUCCAUUUCCUUGAGAUGGUCUAAUGCAGUAAAUCAGGAAGUUGUCAUUGAUGGAGUGUAAAUGCCGUCACACACGUCACGAUGCUAAUAAACUCCUUGUAACAAUGGCGGCAGGACAUGACUUAAGAGAGUGACCAUUGAUAAACCACCACAGAUACUUCCUGGUUACUAUUUGUUUCGAGGCUGAAUAUCUAUUACAGUUGCCCAACAGUGAGAUCAAACACAUUUUUUAAAUAUUUUUUUUAGAUUUCCUGAAACGGGUUUGUUUUGAAUGAGACACAGAAAGACGAACGUUGUAGACAGGUUGUCAGUCAGUCGAGGAAGGAGACACAGAACAAACAUGAUAUCAGAAUAUGUGUUUAAUAGAGAGUAGUUUUACUGGUGCACACUAGUUUUGAUCAGAGCCCUUGGUCAAAAGUAGUGCACUAAAAGCAGUGCACUAAAAGUAGUGCACUCGUUUUGAUCAGAGCCCUUGGUCAAAAGUAGUGCACUAAAAGCAGUGCACUAAAAGUAGUGCACUAGUUUUGAUCAGAGCCCUUGGUCAAAAGUAGUGCACUAAAAGCAGUGCACUAAAAGUAGUGCACUAGUUUUGAUCAGAGCCCUUGGUCAAAAGUAGUGCACUAAAAGCAGUGCACUAAAAGUAGUGCACUAGUUUUGAUCAGAGCCCUUGGUCAAAAGUAGUGCACUAAAAGCAGUGCACUAAAAGUAGUGCACUAGUUUUGAUCAGAGCCCUUGUUCAAAAGUAGUGCACUAAAAGUAGUGCACUAGUUUUGAUCAGAGCCCUUGGUCAAAAGUAGUGCACUAAAAGCAGUGCACUAAAAGUAGUGCACUAGUUUUGAUCAGAGCCCUUGGUCAAAAGUAGUGCACUAAAAGCAGUGCACUAAAAGUAGUGCACUAGUUUUGAUCAGAGCCCUUGUUCAAAAGUAGUGCACUAAAAGUAGUGCACUAGUUUUGAUCAGAGCCCUUGGUCAAAAGUAGUGCACUAAAUGGGGGAAUGAAUAGGGUGCAAUUUGAGAUGCAGACAAGACUGUGAUGAAGUGUGUUAUUGAGUUUAUGCUUGAACUAAACUGAGUGGUGGUGAUGGAAAUACACUCAUGUAGAGAUGCCAAAGAGAAGAGGCUCUUCUCUAUCAUAUCUAUGUUGGCCAGUGCAGGCUUUUGUUCCAACCCAGCACUAAACAUUUGUUUUAAAUCAUGGCCCUCUGAAAAGAGAAGAGAAGAGGCUCUUCUCUAUCAUAUCCAAGUUGGCCAGUGCAGGCUUUUGUUCCAACCCAGCACUAAACAUUUGGUUUAAAUCAUGGCCCUCUGUAGGUGUCAGCCAAACGGCUGACCGGCUUCUCAGGGUUCACUGUCAGUUUCCACAGCCUCCUGUGUGUCAGGUAUAGCCAAUAGGAUGGUCAGUCUGUGCGAUGCUCUACUCUCAUAGGUCCACUUCCCUGUCUGUCUCUGGUCUGGGUGGGCAUUUUGAUCCCAUGGCAACAGCACUUUGCCAUGAUCAUGUGACUUUACAGAGAGACUAGCAGUUACUGUACACACCAACAACGUACACUUUAUGAUCAUGGAUCUCAAAUGAUCCAAAAUCAACCUCUCUCUCUCUCUCUCUCCCACUUAACUUUUCACCAUCUCUCUCUCUCUCCCACUUAACUUUUCACCAUCUCUCUCUCUCUCCCACUUAACUUUUCACCAUCUCUCUCUCUCUCUCCCACUAACUUUUCACCAUCUCUCUCUCUCUCCCACUUAACUUUUCACCAUCUCUCUCUCUCUCCCACUUAACUUUUCACCAUCUCUCUCUCUCUCUCCCACUUAACUUUUCACCAUCUCUCUCUCUCUCCCAAACUUUUCACCAUCUCUCUCUCCCCCCACUCUUAACUUUUCACCAUCUCCCUCUCUCUCCCACCACUUACCUUUCCUCGCUCUCCUUUUCCUUUCAUCUCCACCCCUCAACAUGCCCCCCACCACCACCACCUAUGGGUCUGCUGUUGCUGAUGAACAGAGUGAAAUGAGAAGGUGGGUGUAUUAAAACUGGUAAAGGACCAGGCCAAGUUAAAGAGUGAUUUAAGGAAGCUGGGGUGUAAAGUGAUGAUAUUGCGGUUCCCGGAACAGGAAGAGAAUCCUCAGGUGAGGGGUUUACAGAAUGUUGAAAGGAGAGUGAGGGAGGUACAGAACGGUGUAAAUAUAAUGUGGUAUGGUUACAUUACCGUGUAGGUAUUGGAUUAUGACUGCUGAAUGUCCCUUUUUUUGGGGGGUGUGGUUGGCGAAGCUGCUGUCGCCCCUGCAAUGCUCCUGUACCCCCCCCCAGCUCAAGCUCACCCCGUCGUUACCGCCCCCUAACACUUCCUCCCCACCGGACCACCCUCCGAUUCCCUCCUCAGACAGACCCAUCUACCCCCCGUGAAGGAGCGUAUUGGAGAAUAUUGAUGUCUAAAAUAAAGUGUAUAUAUAUAUAUAUAUAUAUAUAUAAGGUGGAUAUGUGAAGUGAAGAGCGUAUAGAUAUAUAUAAGGUGGGGGAGGUGUGGCAAAAUAAUGAUAUAUAAAAUAUAUAUAUAUAGUCGAUUUAACGUCGAUUUCUCCUUUGGAGGAUCUGGGAUGUAUUGGAUAAAAUGUGUUAAUAUUGUACAUUUAGAAUAAAAACAUUAUUUAAAACAAAGAAAAGCAAUUCAAAGUCAAGACAAAUGAACUGCUUGUAUUGUGAAGUCACUGUGAUAACUGACACGGUCUCUAACGAUGGUAUUUAACAAGACAAUGAAUACGAAAACAUCAACCACAUACCUUGUACACACACAAAAGGUGUGGUUCUGGAGCAGUUCUAUUGAGUUCUGUUGGAUUGAUCCCAUUGAGUUCUUUUGGAGCCCAUUGAGUUCUUUUGGAGCCCAUUGAGUUCUGUUGGAGCCCAUUGAGUUCUUUUGGAGCCCAUUGAGUUCUUUUGGAGCCCAUUGAGUUCUUUUGGAGCCCAUUGAGUUCUGCUGGAGCCCGUUGAGUUCUGUUGGAGCCCAUUGAUUCUUUUUGGAGCCCAUUGAGUUCUUUUGGAGCCCAUUGAGUUCUUUUGGAGCCCAUUGAGUUCUUUUGGAGCCCAUUGAGUUCUGCUGGAGCCCGUUGAGUUCUGUCGGAGCCCGUUGAGUUCCGUCGGAGCCCGUUGAGUUCCGUCGGAGCCCGUUGAGUUCCGUCGGAGCCCAUUGAGUUCCGUUGUCUCCACCAGUUCAGAUUCUCCACUGACCUGUGAACUAUUCUCAAUCUUCUCUCUUUCACACUCAUCCUUUCUGAAAAGAACCUUCAGGUCUCUCCCCAAACUGAGGAGGAUGUGCUGUACUCCUCUUCCAUCUUCACCCUUUUAAUGUUUUUUAUUUUCUGUUGGUGGUUUUAUUUAUCUUAUUGAGAGAAAUGGUUGGUUUUAUCUACAUUGAUUGAUCUCAUUUCGAUUGGCCAUAUUAUGAUGAGAUCUACUUUGAAUGGUGAGAUUUAAAUUAGAGAUUCACUCUGAUUUGGUUCAUCCUUGGGGUGGCAGGAUGACAUCUCUGUACAGUCUGUUUGAUCAGUAUUCCUCUUCAUUUGUUUUCACUUCCCAGGUUGAGUUACAGUACCCAAUCCCAUGUAGCCUGUGUUAAACUGUAUAGAUUGUGCAAAAAAAAAGAUGUCUGAAAGAUUACAUAAAAGAAAAACCCUAUCAAUUACAGAAAAAUAAAGUGAUUUUAAAAUGUAUAAAAGAAGUUGAGAAACAGUUUUAAGGGACAAAUGUAAUGUUUUGUCAUUAAUGUUUUUGUUGGAAGCGGGCUACUGGACAAAGAAUCGACUGUAAUAAAGUCAUUUUGGUACUUCUGAGUCCUGUCAGAGUGUAGUGUGGGUUCAGCGUGAAUGUGUGUGUGUGUGUGUGUGCGUGCGUGCGUGUGUGCGU